ACUCAAAUGAAUUGACGGGGACCCGCACAAGCGGUGGAGUAUGUGGCUUAAUUCGAUGCAACGCGAAGAACCUUACCAAGGCUUGACAUGCAUCUCUAAGCGCGUGAAAGCGCGUGACCCUUCGGGGAAUUUGCACAGGUGCUGCAUGGCCGUCGUCAGCUCGUGUCGUGAGAUGUUGGGUUAAGUCCCGCAACGAGCGCAACCCUUGUGAACAGUUGCCAGCACUUAAGGUGGGAACUCUGUUCAGACUGCCCAGAUCAACUGGGAGGAAGGUGGGGACGACGUCAGGUCAGUAUGGCCCUUACGCCUUGGGCUGCACACGUACUACAAUGCCCAGCACAAUGAGAACCGAGACCGCGAGGUGGAGGAAAUCUAUAAAACUGGGCUCAGUUCGGAUUGGAGGCUGCAACUCGCCUCCAUGAAGUUGGAAUCGCUAGUAAUGCCGUAUCAUCUACGACGGCGUGAAUACGUUCCCGGGUCUUGUACACACCGCCCGU
RNAcentral lists this ribosomal RNA (497 nucleotides) under uncultured bacterium. RNAcentral describes it as "partial 16S ribosomal RNA". It matches the Rfam family "Bacterial small subunit ribosomal RNA", at positions 899 to 1397 of the family's 1533-position model. The record is from RNAcentral.